RNAcentral lists this ribosomal RNA (374 nucleotides) under uncultured bacterium. RNAcentral's name for it is "bacterial SSU rRNA". It matches the Rfam family "Bacterial small subunit ribosomal RNA", at positions 30 to 402 of the family's 1533-position model. The record is from RNAcentral.
AUUGAACGCUGGCGGCAUGCCUUACACAUGCAAGUCGAACGGCAGCACGGGAGCAAUCCUGGUGGCGAGUGGCGAACGGGUGAGUAAUAUAUCGGAACGUGCCCGGUCGUGGGGGAUAACGUAGCGAAAGCUACGCUAAUACCGCAUACGAUCUACGGAUGAAAGCGGGGGAUCGCAAGACCUCGCGCGAUUGGAGCGGCCGAUAUCAGAUUAGGUAGUUGGUGAGGUAAAGGCUCACCAAGCCGACGAUCUGUAGCUGGUCUGAGAGGACGACCAGCCACACUGGGACUGAGACACGGCCCAGACUCCUACGGGAGGCAGCAGUGGGGAAUUUUGGACAAUGGGCGCAAGACCUGAUCCAGCAAUAGCCGCGU